Molecule: long non-coding RNA, 4999 nt
Organism: Chenopodium quinoa (quinoa)
Lineage: Eukaryota; Viridiplantae; Streptophyta; Magnoliopsida; Caryophyllales; Amaranthaceae
Exons: 4
Source: RefSeq, a predicted model, not a curated record
UUAAGUAAUCAAGGAUUAGAUUUAAAUGGGAGAACAAUACCAGGGAGCUAAAUUAGGGGAACAAUUGUUUAUGGCCAUUGUUUAUUUUAUGAGGUUGUAAUAAAUAAUAAUACACCGGUUAUUAAAUCUGUUACAAAAUUUUGAAGGAACUUUGAUGGGAGAACAUUACCAGCUUGACAUUUAUCACAUAUGCAGAUUUAAUUCAAAUGUAUCAUUUGCAUCUUGAAAAAUUAAAUUUAAAUGUAUCAUUUAAUUAAGGAAAAUUUGUAAUUAUUAAGUCAACCUUUUGGCCAUCCGCUUUUAUUACGUCAACCUUUUGAUUAUUUUUAAACACGUCAACCUUGUACUACUAUUAACUUAUAUUACGUUUAUUUACUGAUUACCUGUUAAACCCUUCACAUUUUUUGAACUUAUGAGAUAGAAAAUCUGACUUGGCAUUUUAACCCCUAAAAAAAUUAAAAAUUAUCACUUAAUAAUGCCAACUCAUCAAGACUAUACUCCAAUUUUAAUGAAAAAAAAGACCUAGUACUAUUAUACUCCAAAUUUCCAAAUUCACGAUCCUCCUUUUCACCAUGUUCCUUUCAUCAUCAUAUUACUACUCUCCAUUAAACACAAUACUAUUCAAUUCUUCCUUUAAUUUUCCUUCAUUCCUUUAAUCACCUUAUAUUCAUCUUUUAUCUUUAAACUCCAUUAAAACACACUCCAUAUUCCAGGUGGUGCAUGCCGUAGAAGACAUUUCGAGCAUAAUUGGCAAAAUUUAAGGUUAGUUUGCGAAAUUAAAUCUCCUAAUUUGUGUGUUUAAUGUGUAAUUGGUGUAGUUGAUGGAAUUUAUGGUGAUUAAUUAAAUUGCAAAAAUUGGGAAUUAUCUAGGGAUUUUUAAAAUUGGGGGAAAAUUGGGAAUUAGGGAUUAUGACUAUGUGAUUGUAAUUAGUGAUGUGAAAUUAAAGGGAAUUCAACUAAGUAAUUUUAAUUGUGUGUUAAUUUUUAUUUAAUCAAUCUAAUAUUGAAUCAUAUAAAAAUCAAUUUAGGUGAAAAUGGUGGACCAAUUUUUUGAUACUGUGACAUUAAGAUUUUGGCAUGGUGGUCAAUUUAAAGUGAUAGAAGUGAUAGAUAAUGGGCAGUUGGUGUAUUUUGGAGGAGAUAGUAAAACAUUUGACCUUGAUCCUGAUGAGAUGAGUUAUUUUGAUGUGGUUGACUUGGCUAAGAAGUGUGGUGGUUACAACAAUGUUGAUGAAAUUUUAUACUUAAUGCCUGGGUUGAAAUUGGAAGAUGGGUUAAGGAAAAUUUAUAGUGAUACCGAAGUUGUGGAAAUGGCAAAGUUAGCUGUGAAAUUCAAGGUUGUAAAUGUGUAUGUUGUGCAUUUAUUUGUGGACUUGAAUAUGGCCUCCAAUCAUACAGAAAACGGUCCCCCCAAAACACAACCAUCUAAAGCAUCUUCUUCUACCUCAACUUUAAAAAAAUUAACACCAAAAAGGGGCCCACUUGAUGCUGUAAAGAGGACCUCCCCCCAAAAAAGAUUCCAGACCAACAAAAAAAUAGUGUGGAAACAUCUGUCGAUAAAUGCCAAAAGCAACCCUCCACAUGCUCUCAAAAAAUACAACAUCCACCCUUAUCUACUUCUACUAAACCUAGUCUCACAUCAGAAGCUCAAAAUCCUACAUAUUCAAAUUUUUCCAAAUCAUUAGGUUGGGAUGCUCUGGUUAGUGAUAUAAGUGAGAGCACUAACUCAGAUGUGCCUUAUGAACCUGAUGGAGAUUUUGUUGGAAGUGAUGAAGAGGUUUUCUAUGAUUAUGAUGUAGAUGAAGAGAAUGAAGGGAUUUAUGGGGGUUUAGAGGAAGUAGAAGAGCAGUUUGUUGAUGGCAUACAUGAUAAUGAGAGUGAUAAUAGUGAUGAUGAGUACAGGGAUGUUGUAAAUAAAGUGAAGGUGGUGAACUCUAAACUAGUUGAUGUUGCUUUGCAACUCCAGAAGGAGGCAGCUAAAUGUAAGCUUAGUUCACAAAAUAAUGAACAAGAAGAUCAAGGGAAUGAGGUUGCAAGUGAAGUUGAUGGUGAAGGUAAUGACUCCGAGUACUUUGAUAGUGAGGAUGACAUACAUACUCCACCAGAGAGUGAUAACGAGGACAGAUCUGAAAGAAGAUCAAGAAGGGGGAUGUUAGUGAAUUCCGAAACUGACUUCAAGGGGUUUAAGUGGAAGGUGGGGUUAAGGUUUUCUAAUAGGGAAGCAUUAAAAGAGGUUGUGGCUAAGUUUGCUAUAGUGAAUGGUAGGAAUUUAUUUAUAAGGAUCAGCUCUACGAAAAGGAGACAAGAAUUAGGUUAUAAGUGUGUGCCUAACUGUCCAUUUUAUCUUUAUGGUUCUUGGCAUUCUCAUAAAGCUAGUUUCAUAGUGAGGGUUGUGAGGGAUAAACAUACCUGUAACAGAGAUAUGAAAAAGAAUAGACAACUUAAGUCUACAUGGGUGGCCAAGCAAUUGUUAGAGGUGUUUAGCUAGGCCACAUUGGCCUGCAAAGGAGAUAGUGGAGAUUAUAAAGAGAGCUUAUGCAGCGUUGGUGACUAGAGAUUUUGCAUACAAGGUUAAAUAUGCAGCUCACAAGUUGUUGCAUGGAUCCAUGAGAGAUCAUUAUAGUAAGAUUGGGAGGUAUAGAGAGGCAUUGCAGUUGGCUAGUCCUGGAUCUGUGUUAGAGAUUGUGUGUGGUGGAAAUAAACAAACUGAUCCCCUGUGUUCCAGAGAUUUUUCACAUGUUUCGAGGGUCUUAAGAAAGGGUGGAAGGAUGGGUGUAGGCCUAUCAUUUGUGUGGAUGUUGCCUUCUUAAAGACUUUUCUUGGUGGUCAAAUAAUAAGUGCAGUUGGUAGGGAAGGAAAUGAGCAAAUGUUUCCCAUAGCUUGAGCCGCAGUUGAAGGAGAAAACAAUCUUUCAUGGGAAUGGUUUAUCAACCAUCUUAAAGCUUGCCUCCAACAUUGCCAUAUUGAAUGUUGUUAGCACUGUAUUGCCUAAGGCUGAACAUAGGCAUUGUGCAAGACACAUUUUUGCACAUUGGCACAAAGCAUAUAAAGGGGAUGAGAUGAAAUUGUUAUUUUGGAAGGUUGCUAAAUCCUACAAUGAAGCUGAUUAUAAUGAUGCACUAAAAGAAUUGAGUGAUGCAAACGAAGAAGCUGCUAAGGCCUUUACUACAUACAAACCAGAGUUAUUUUGUAGAGCUUUCUUAUCCACUACCAUGAGGUCUGAUGCUAUUACCAAUAAUAUGGCAGACUUUUAAUGGAUAUAUAAUUAAUGCUAGAACUAAGCAUUUGGUUUAUAUGUUAGAGGAUAUAAGGGUAGCAUUAAUGGAAAGAUUAGUUUCUAAAAGAAAGUAUAUGGAAAAGCAAACCUCAACCCUUUGCCCUAGAAUUCAAGCUAUAUUAGAGAAAGAAAAGACCAAGGCAGCUUAUACCUUCCACAAAUACUCUGUUCAAUGUUAGGCAUAACUUAGAUCAACUUAAUGUAGCCUUAGAAGCUAAGACUUGUACAUGUAGAAAGUGGGAGAUGACAGGAGUACCUUGUUGUCAUGUUGUCGCAUGUAUUUUCUUCUUACACAAACAACCUGAGGAUUAUGUUGACCACUAGUUUACGAGGGAGGAUUAUUUGAGAUCAUAUGCAGGAAACAUACCACCUUGUGCUGGGGAGAGGCAUUGGCCAAACGUGAACAUGAGGUUAGACCCCCCUGCAAUCAAGGUGGGACCAGGAAGGCCAAGAAAAAACAGGAUAAAAGAUCCAUUUGAGGAUAAAAAGAAACCUGGGACUUUGAGAAGACAUGGGAUGAAGAUGACUUGUAGUUUGUGUAAGGUCAAGGGGCAUAACAAAAGAAAAUGCCCUAAUGGCGGUCAAAUUGGAAGUGAGGUGACAGAACCAGCACCUAAAAAAGCUAAGGGAAGGCCUAAGAAGAGCACUACAACAUCUUUGAGUCAGGUUGCAUCCACAUGUACACCUCAGGCUCCUCCAGAGCACUUCACCACUACCGCACACCCCGCUCAGAGGUGGGAGAAUGAUUUUAGGUGGCCUAGGAUCAAAGGGGAGAGGAACUGGAAGGGGAAGAACUACAACUAAACAAGGUGAAGGUCAGACUCAAGCUUUUCAAAGCAAAGGAAAGGGUAAAGGAAAGGGAAGGGGUUGAGGUCGAGGCUCCACACAAGUCAUUCCAAGUGGAGUUGGUGUGUUUAUUACAGAAGAUGGAACUCCCAUGACCAAUGCAAGUGGUAGAAGAGGCUCCGGAAGGGUUCUGACUAGUCAAUCAAGUCAAGUUUGAUCAAGAUGCUUCUGUUAUUGAAUUUAUCUAUGUACUAGACUAUUUUAAGUUAUUUGAUGGACUUAGAGUAUGUAAUACACUUAAGAGAUGUAUUUUAAGAGUAUGCUUCUAACCCUUGCUUUGUGAGAAAUCAUAGUUUUAGAUUAUUAUUAAUAUAUUAUAUACAAUGAAGUUCAGCAAGAGAUUGAAUGAAAAAAAAGAAAAAAAAAAAGGUCCAAGGUAGGAUUGAAGAAGGCACAUAAGUGCCACAUUAAGGCUCAAAAUUAUUCUUUGUUAGGUUCAGGUACACAAAUGCGUUCAUAAAGAAGAAAAAAAAAACGUCAUUCGUCUUUUUUUAAAAAAAAAAAAAAAAAAAAAAAAAAAAAAAAAAAAACAGAUGUAAAAAAAAUGAUGUUACAAGGUUAACGUAUUAAAAAAAAUAAUCAGAAGGAUGACGUAAUAAAAGCAAAGAAUCAAAAGAUUGACUUAUUAUUCACAUAAUUUUCAUUUUUGGAAAAUUACAUCAGCAUUUUUACCUCCACCUAAUACUCCACGUAAGCAAUUAACCCGUUUUUGCAGGUCAUUUUCUAUUUUACGUAAUAUAAGUUAAUAGUAGUACAAGGUUGACGUGUUUAAAAAUAAUCAAAAGGUUGACGUAAUAAAAGCGGACGGCCAAAAGGUUGACUUAAUAAUUACAAAUUUUCCUUUAAUUAAUGACUUGUGGAUAGAAUUUCAGUGAA